UAAAAAUGACUUUAAGGUAGUUUUUAUCAACAUGGGUUUAUCUUUGCUUAUCUGCUUACUCCCAAGAUACCUGUACGGAGAGCUUGGGAGGCAUUUCCAUAGGCUCAUUGUCAAGUGAAAGUUAAGCCCCCACUCACUGGGAAGCGAAGUUCCAUUAACUUGCUUUGGAUUCAUGGAAAUUCUGAACAGAGAUGUGAGAAUGACUACAAUUUGAGGUAUCUGUUAAAUACAGCAACAUGACAUCACAAGGAUUGUUUUGGAGUCUCCUGAAUAUGAGAGAUAUUAAAAAGGUGAAAUCUUAGGACUGGAAUAUCAAGGGGAAAAUAGGCAAAACCAUGGUUUCCAGACUCUUUUAUUGGGGAAUAAUUCGUUUGUUGGUUGGUUUGGCAGAAAUGGGAUUAUUUGAAGAGAUCAGCACAGGAAAUAAUGACAGGUCAACAGAAUGAGAAGACAAACCAAAGACUGGGAGAAAAUGUUAGAAGAGAAACAUCUGAUAAUGGAUCCAAAAUACACAAAAGAGUCUUAAACCUCAGCAAUAAGAUAACUUGAUUAAAAUUGGGCAGAAGACUUGAACAAACUUCGACUAAAGAAGAUACAGAGAAAGCAAGUUUGUAACCUUUCUGAGAUCAGGAAAUUUAUAUGAAAACAGAGCCAUCCUGAAAACAAUGAAGAAAUAGUUCUUCCAUUCAAAGGAAAACAAAGUAGAAGCCAAUUUGCUGGAUCAAAUGUGAUCACGACUUUUUUCAAGAUUAAUGUUUGGAAGCAUUUAAUUUUAUAGGAUUGAGUAAAGGAUAGAAAACCCAUUGGUGUUGAGGAAUGUUUAGAUACCUUAGACCUGUGAGGAAAUUCUACCAAAAUCAACAUAACUAAGGGCACUCCGACUUUGGAAUUAAAAUAUAUUGAUUACCUUUUAUGUAACCCGAAUUAACAGUAAGACAACUGGAUCUGUAGAGCAUCACACUGGUUUUAGACGCAGAGAACAGGGAACAAGAACCCCUUUUCCUCUUUUUGAAAACAAAUAAAAUGCAGCGUUGGCUCUCUGGAUGAAGUACA
This is a long non-coding RNA of Suricata suricatta (meerkat), 1053 nucleotides long. RefSeq lists it as uncharacterized. The record is from RefSeq and is a predicted model, not a curated record. The transcript is spliced from 9 exons. NCBI's taxonomy places the organism in Eukaryota, Metazoa, Chordata, Mammalia, Carnivora, Herpestidae.